UGUCAUUAUUGCUUUGACAAUUAUAAGUUGUCAGUUUGAACAUUGAGAGUUGUCAGUAUGACAACCCAUGUUGUUAUUGUGACAACAUUGCGAGUCUUAUACUGAUUGCUUUAAAACAAACAUUCAUUAGAUAUGAUAUUUAGAUAGUGUUAACGAUCAUGUUUAUAGUUUAACCACGCGUUUUACACAGGAUAUGUCUUGACAAUAGUUUAUUGUCAAAGCAUUGUCAUAUUUUGAGUUUUCUCAAACUUUGACAAUACAAGGUUGUCAAACUUGACGGAUUGAGCGCAUGCGCAGUUCCAAUGUCCUUCACAGCGAAGGUCACAGUAAAUGAGUUGUAACGCGUCGGCAGCGUCAAAGUGAGCGGGAAGAGUGGUUAUAUUUAUGAUUUCAGAUCUGUGCAGAAUACUCUCGACUGGGAAAGGUGUCUGAAAGAAUCUAUUACCUAAUCAGAAAUUCAUCGAAAGUCCAGGAUUAUGUCAAAGCUUUGAUGAAAGACGUGGAUACAAGAACUGAUGAAACAGAAAAAAGUAUGCAGUACUGGCCACAGUGAUCCUGGGUCUUCCCGGACUCCUAAGAGAUGAGGCGAAGACCUUCAUUGUAAAG
Molecule: long non-coding RNA, 606 nt
Organism: Haliotis rubra (blacklip abalone)
Lineage: Eukaryota; Metazoa; Mollusca; Gastropoda; Lepetellida; Haliotidae
Exons: 3
Source: RefSeq, a predicted model, not a curated record